UGCCAUCGCCGCCACCGCCGCCGGACGUCCCAUCCGCGUCCAUCACCGCCCAUCCACUUGCGCUGCCAGACCUACAAACAAACAAGAGAAGUAGCAGAAACAAGCAGUAGCAAGUGGGGGGAUUUUGUAAUGAAAAAGGCUAUAUAAAAAGCCAUUUUUUUUGUAAUGAAGGGGGGGGGGACAAAUGUAAAGAAAAAAUAUAUUGAGAAAUCAAUACAAGAAUCGCAAAAAUUUAAAAAAAGGUGUUCUUCCUUUUUAUUCUUGUUUUCGAGUUUGUUUUUUUCUUUCUUUUUUUUUUUCAAUCAUAUAUAUACAUAUAUAUAAUAGUUUAUAUUUACGGAAAAUACAAAAAAAAGUGAAUUUUUACCUUUUUGAAUUUUUCGGCCACCGGGAGCGACGGCGUCGACGGCGGAGCUUCACCGGACCCUUGGCUGGAUUUUUGGAGAAGAGAGGGGAUUUUGAGAGAAAAAUCAAUUUUUUUUAAGAGAAAGGGCAGAAAAUGAAGUUUAAAACUUUUUUUUAAUUUAUAAAGGUAUUGGAAACGACGCCGUUUUGCCCUUAGGGGUCAGGUGCCAAAACGACGUCGUUUUGGCCCUGACCCGCGCGGUGACCCGACCCUGGGGGAGGAUCCGCGUGUUUUCUAAAAGGGGGAUAUUUGUGCGCGCAGUCCCCCUGUUUUUUCAGCGCAUUACAGCUUGGUCCUAUUUCAUUUUCUUUUAUUUUGGAUCUAGCCUUGAAGUUUUACUUUUGUUUCAUUUUAGUCCACUGAAGUGCUGCAUUUUAGAACUAUGGUUUAUUUAUUGUUUUAGUCCUUCCCUUUUUGCGCGUGUCGCAAUUGGAUCCUUCUUGUUAUUUAUUAUUUCGAAUUGGCCCUGUAUCUUCGUUCUUAUUUCGAUUUAAUCCUUUUUUAGCAUCUUUUAUUAUUUAGUCAAUUGUUUUUUAACAUUAUUACUUUUAAUAAUAAUAAUAUUAUUAUUGUUAUUAUUAUUAUUAUCAUUAUUAUAAUUGCCCUUAUAUAUAUACGUUUUUUUUUAUAUAUAUACAUAUUUUUUUUUAUAUACUUACACACAUACUUUUUGUAAUAUAUAUGUACACUUACAUAUUCUUCAUUUUUUUAAUAUGUAUUUUACAUAUGUGUUCUUUAUAUUUUAUGAUUCAUACAUAUAUAUGUAUAUGCUUACUUAUAUAUAUUCUUUAUUUAAUAUUUUUAAAAUACACAUACAUAUAUAUUAUAGUGUUAUUCACUAUUAUUGUUUCAUUUGGUGUUAAUUUAUUUAUUUAUUUACAUGCUCAUUAUUAUUUUUAUUUUAUUUAGGUGCUUUAAUUUUAUAUUUGUUUAUUUACUUUUAUUUGUUGAUUUCUUUUCAUUAUAUAUUUGUCAUCUUAUUUAUUUAUCUUUUCUUAUUUUGCUUGUGUUAUUUACAUUAUCAUUAUUAUCACUAUCUUACAUUUUACUCGGAUUUAUCAAAAACAAAAAUUUUCAAAUAAGGCAAUGUUUUGCGUUUGGGAAAUUCGAGAAAACGUGCCCUAAGGUGCUAGGUGUCGAUUGUUCUCAUUCAACCAAAUGGCUAAAUAUCCUUUUAAAAAUUUUCAAAUAAGGCAAUGUUUUGCGUUUGGGAAAUUCGAGAAAACGUGCCCUAAGGUGCUGGGUGUUGAUUUUUCUCAUUCAACCAAAUGGCUAAAUAUCCUUUUAAAAAUUUUCAAAUAAGGCAAUGUAUUGCGUUUGGGAAAUUCGAGAAAACGUGCCCUAAGGUGCUAGGUGUCGAUUUUUCUCAUUCAACCAAAUGGCUAAAUAUCCUUUUAAAAAUUUUAAAUUAAGGCAAUGUUUUGCGUUUAGGAAAUUCGAGAGAACGUGCCCUAAGGUGCUGGGUGUCGAUUUUUCUCGUUCAACCAAAUGGCUAAAUAUCCUUUUAAAAAAAUUUCGAAAUAAGGCAAUGUUUUGCAUUUGGGAAAUUCGAGAAAACGUGCCCUAAGGUGCUGGGUGUUGAUUUUUCUCGUUCAACCAAAUGGCUAAAUAUCCUUUUAAAAAUUUUAAAAUAAAGCAAUGUUUUGCGUUUGAAAUUUGAGAAAACGUGCCCUAAGGUGCUGGGUGUCGAUUUUUCUCAUUUAACCGAAUAGCCAAAUAUCCUCUUGAAUUUCAAUCCAUAUCAUCCGAGUUUUUUUUUAGGAUUGUAUUUUAAAUUUCAUUAAAGUUUUCAAUUUUUCGACACUAAGACAUUAAGUAAUCAACUAGGUACCAAUUUUGGGCGUAUCGAGUGUGCUAAUCCUUCCUCGUGCGUAACUGACUCCCGAACUCGUUUUUCUAAAUUUCGUGGACCAAACUUGUUGUUUUAAUAAAAUCAAAUCAUUUAUUAAAAACAACUACUUUUCAAGAUGACCCGAUCACACCUUAUCAAAAAGGAUUUGUGACAACUCCCAUUUUCGUUUUCAUUUUCAAAAAACCAAGUCGACCCCAUUUUCCAUCCAAAAAAAUGGUGUCAACAGCUUGGCGACUCCACUGGGGACUUUAAAUAAGAGAGUCAAGCCACGAGUUGAUUAUUUCUUGUUUUUUUGUCGAAAGUUGAAAAUGUGAUUUAAAUAUACGAUCCUCUCAUUGCAUUUCAUUUAUUUUGAGUUAUAGUUUUCAUCAUGUUUUGUAUUUUAAAUUUUUAUAUCUUUCUGCAUUGCAUUGCAUUGCAUGACCGUUGGUCACAUCUUUUUAAGUGGGAGUGAGAAGCUAGUCCUUCGUGAGGUUUUCACCUCCGUGCAGGAUAGUGGAUCACUUUCGGGAUACAUCCGUACCUAUGUCUUCGUGAGAUUUUCAUCUCCGUGCAGCCAUAGGGAAAUUUAUUCCCCUGAACCGAACUCGGUAUGUAUGAGCCUAUAAUGGGUGAAGAUCGAGGAAUCUGCUCGUUCGGGUACCUUGACUUUAGAACCAACCCUAAUAUAGUGGACUUAGGAACUUAACCUAGGUAGAGCCACUCCAAAUCCCUAGUGGUUACCUGAUUAGGUACUUUCUGUUUUCCUUGUUUGCUUCUAUUUUGUACUAACCCCUCUUGUUGUGUUUUGAUUAUGAUUGCAUUGCAUUUGCAUAUUAGGAAAGAAAUAUUGAUUCAAGUCCGAUUACUAAAUUAGAAAGCUUGUCAUGGAAUACGAAUUCCUUGAUAAAGUGGAAAAUAAUACGAUUUCCCAAAUAUAUUCUGAGAAACACAAGAAUGGCGAUGGAAGAGUUCGUGACCUUGCUCCGGGGCCUGUGGAUUCAAAGCGAUCGUUUGAGGGCCUUCGACGUUCCAACACCCUUAAAAAAGCUGACGAGCUUUAUGAAGAUGGGCAGGUGAUAGAUCGCGACCAAGAUCAAGAAAAGGAGCUAGCAAUGACCUCUAUUGGCGAGAUUACCUCAAAUGUGCAGAUGAAGAAAAAGAUCGAUGUUGUUUAUUAGAAUAUGAGGGUGAGGUCGUACAUGUAUCCGCUUUAUGUAAAGGAAUUUGCUUUCUAGAAAAGUUUUCUAAAUGUAAUUAAUCAUAAUCAACGUCUCUUUAGGCAUACAUUUCAUGCAUUGCAUCACAUUAUAAGCAUUAUCAACCAUUAAAGGACCCUAAUUAAAUAAAAUUAUUUCAGUUAUUCUGGAACAUCCUUACGGCCCAAGAAAGAAAACAAAAGCAAUGGAUCAAUGGAUAGAACGAUUGGAACAAAUGUAGAAAGAAAUGCAAGAUAAGAUGCAAGAAUAAUUGGGUGUGCUGGAAUCUCAAAGAGCCAUGAUGAGCCAAUUGACACAAUUAUUGGCUGAUAAAGGAAAAGGCCCUGCCAUAAAUUCGGGAGUUGAUCAGGAGGACCCUGUUUAUCCUCCAGGUUUUGCCCCAACGAGCACUCAGGCACAACCAGAUAUGUGUCAACAAGAAGCGCAUGUUCACACUAGACCUCAAUGCCAGGUUGAUACCUUGACACUAAUAAAUUUUUAGAUAGGCUCGGGUUCUAACCCAGGAGAUAAUCCGGCUAACUCUGUCGUUCCUGAUAAUGAUGUGGCGAAAGCAGAAAAGGCAAGAGUAGAUUUACCGAAACAACUUGAAGAUAGGUGUAGGUGGUUAGAAGAAAAGUUCAGAGCAAUGGAAAAUGCUGAUUACCGUUGCAAGAUCGAUGCUAAAGACUUGAGUUUGGUCCCUGACUUAGUUCUCCCGCAUAAGUUUAAAAUGCCCGAAUUCGAGAAAUACAACGGGACUAGCUGUCCUGAAGCCCAUAUCACCAUGUUCUGUCGGAGGAUGACGGGGUAUAUUGACAAUGAUCAAUUGUUAAUUCACUGUUUCCAGGACAGUCUGAUAGGAGCUGCUGCCAAAUGGUACAACCAGUUGAGUCGUACUCAAAUUAGUUCAUGGAAAGAUUUGACACAGGCCUUCAUGAGACAAUACAGUCACAUAUCAGACAUGACGCCCGAUAAGAUCACCCUACAAAAAAUAGAAAAGAAACAAAAUGAAAGCUUCAGGCAGUACGCCCAGAGAUGGCAAGAAGUGACAACGCAAGUCCAGCCGCCUCUUUUGGAAAAAGAAACCACAAUACUUUUUAUCAAUACUCUAAAGGCCUCGUUAAUCACCCAUAUGUUGGGAAGCGCCACAAAAAGCUUUCCAGAUAUAGUGAUGACUGGGGAAAUGAUUGAAAAUGCAGUAAGAAGUGGUAAAAUAGAUGCGGGGGAAAACUUUAAGAAAUCGACAUCGAAGAAGAAGGAGCACGAGAUAAACAAUACGAGCACGUUUAACAAGGACCAUUCUAAAUCAAUCACGGUGGGGCAAGCCAGAGCAGUAACCGCUAAUCAGCAAGGUUCUUUGAAACAGAAAUCCAAUCUAAGGCCAAAUGUAGAAAAACCCCAGUUUACACAAAUCCCAAUGACAUAUAGAGAGCUGUACCAGAACUUAUAUGACGCACAUAUGGUAUCUCCCUCUUAUCUAAAACGCAUGCAACCUCCAUAUCCUAAAUGGUACGACACAAAUGCCCAAUGCGAGUAUCAUGCGGGAAUUACGGGGCACUCGAUUGAAAAUUGUACUACAUUCAAGAAGUUAGUUGAGAGAUUUAUUAAGAUGGGGAUCGUAAAAUUUGGUGACCCGUCAGGAACAAACGUAGUAGGGGAUCCGCUACCCAAUCAUGAUUGAUAAUGGAGUGACUACAAUGCAUGAAGAAGUUGGGGAAUGUUCACAUCUGUUAUUUGAAGAAGUGACCUUGAUAGAUAUUUGCUAGGAGUUCUCUAAGCAAUAGGACUGUGGAAGAAAUCCCUGUAGUAUUUAGAGCUUACUUAGAGUAAUAUUUAGAACACACUUGUUGCUUUUAGCCUAGAGGCAAUAAGAAGUCUUUUGUGAAAUAGGCUCACGUCUGAACGUCAUUAUUUUAAUGGAAUGCAUCUUUAAGAUCUUUUGAACCAAUAUUCUUUCAUUUCUUAUGAAUGAUUAUUCUUUUAUUCUUUCAUCCAAAUCAUUCUUUCAUUCAUUCAUAAUCAUACUGUGCAGAUAAUUAUUCUUAAAUUCAUACAUUCUUUGUAUAUUCUCUUGUACCUACAAUAGGUCCCUGAAUAUCAAUGACAUGAAUGACACUGCUACAGACUUAGAGUCUCCUUUUGAGCGAGACAUGUGUUUAGAGGGAUCUCACGACUUUGAAGAUGAAAUAGAUUGUAGCCUAUCUCUAGACUUGUUGAGGAUGGUAGAAUAAGAGGAUAAACAAAUCCUACCUCUCAAUGAAUCAUUAGAAAUUGUGAGCUUGAUGAAGACUAGAAUUGACCUGACCACAGAGACGAAGCAAGACCUUGUUGAGUUACCUUUAGAGUUCAAAGAUGCCUUUGUAUGAUCAUACCAGGAUAUGCCCGAAUUAAUCGCUGAUAAUAAAAUCUACACAGCAGCAUGUUUUCAGAAAUUUGCAGUGAACGAUGCGAUUCUUCGUCAGGACAAAUGCCUCUCUCAUUGACUCAGCAUAGCUUUGCCCAUUUGAAGUCGAGCUUCCAUCUCUUCAAGUUUUGUGGGAUUUUAUCCUGAUUAAAGAGGAAAAUCAAAAGUUUUCUGUUGUAGUUUCGCCCCAGAAGGCUCUAUGAAGGAAAUUAGAUCAAAGAAGGUCCUUCGAAAGGGAUAACAAUGACUUACCUAAUCCUAUGAGUUCAGACUCGAAAGAAAAAUCAAAAAAUCAAAAAAUAAUAAAAACAAAAAAAAAACAAAAAAUUAAAAAAUCAUAAGAGAAAAAGAAAGAAGAAAAAAGAAAAGAAAAAGAAAAAGGAGAAGUCAAGGCGAAAACCCGCAAAGGGCAUUUUGACCAAAGGUGGAUCUGAGUUGAAAACCCGAAAAAGGACGACUCAAAUUUUAAGAAAAAUGGGGCAUGGACAUCACCAUUAUCGAAGAUUUUUAAUGGGCAUUGCUUCAUUUUUUUUGAGAGGCUACUUCAUGGAUCAAGGUCAUCCUAUACCGAUAUAGAAUUUCAGAGAGGAUGGUAUUGGAAAAUGCAUUGAACUUAAAUGAUAGCACGAUAACUGAGGUCUGAAAUCAAUUCAGAAGCAGACACCACGUUUUGUCACCGAAUUACCUAGAGGUGAACAAGGACUGGCAUGAGAAAUUAUCAUUUGCCCUCAUUGUUUGUCGAACAUCUGUACUGGGGCAACACCUCUCCUUUUGGUUUAUAGGGUUAAGAUAGUUUUACCUAUUAAAAUCCCCUCAUUGCUUGUUGGAGGGAUCCAAUCGCGAUAUGAUCAGUUAGCCCUAGGAAAAAGGUUAAAAGCUAUUCAUCAGGGUCGGACGUACCAUAAAUAAAUAAUAUGAGCCCAUAAUAAAUAGACUCGUCUCAGAGAAUUCCACGAGAGGGCUGGAUGUUAGAAAAGAUGCUUCCUUAACGAAAGGAUUCUAAAGGGAAAUGAAUGUCAAAUCAGGAAUGUCCCUAUGUUGUAAAGAAGACCAUUUUUAGAGGAGCACUAAUCUUAAGUGAGAUUGCCAAUCCUAUAAACUCAGAUCCAGUUAAGAAACACUUCGUUUAAAGGAGAAGGAAGGACCAAGGUGAAAACCUACAAAGGGCACUUUGAGUCAAAAAAUAAAAAAAAUAAAAAAUGAAAAAAUAAAAAUGGAGAGGCUAAGGGGAAAACCCGCAAAGGGCACCUUAGGGCAAAGGGGAUUUGAGUUGAAAACCCGAAGGGCGGCUCAAAUAUUGAUCAGAAUGGGGCAUAGAGUGAUCAGACAGGGGCAUGUGGUGAUCUUGCUAUACCUGAAAGGGUAAUGCAACAUAUUGGGGCAUCGACAGAGUCCUGUAGAUCUCCUAAACACAUGUCAAACUCAGGAAAGUCUUCAGAAAGUUUGUACAGAAAAAUUCAAGCUGCGAUAUAUGGGGCACUUAACCUUCAUACUAUUUAUAUAUUGAAUUUGUUGUUAUUCUUGGAAUACUUCAUUCUUUUUCAAGACACGUGUUCCAAUCAAUUCCUCUUUUAUUCUUGCUACCCUUGAUAAUUCAUUCAUUUAGAGCUUGCUCUCAAAUAAAUUCUAUUUCAUCCAUCGUUUUAUUAUUUUUGCAAGCAUGUUGCAUUGGAAUAAUGACUAAUGGACUAAUAAUGGAAGUUUUGCAUAUUACUCUAGAAGUUUCUAAAUAAUAUAGAAACCUGAAACAGGACUAUUUUUUAGAAAACACCAAGUUUAAAGGGCGAAAUAUCUAAUAAGGAUGAGUCUAAGUUAAAGACUAUCUUUUCGAAUUUUGUUGUCCAAACAUUGAUUGAACAAAAUGACAAGAUGUCGUGUUGGUGACAAAGCUUCAAUGAACAAACAAGCAAGGAUCACCGAGUGAUAAGAAAAGGUUUUCUCGGAGAAGAAAAUUUUGUAAUUGUGCAUGAGCAUUUAGUAUGACACCUUGGGAAUGGGGUAAAAUGACCAAAGAACUUCACAUUUUGUAUCCUUGAAUUGCGAUAGGAGAAGAUUGAAAAAAGUCAUAUCUUUCUACCCUUGGGUUACAGUGGGAGAUUGAUGGUACAAAUUUUAUGUCCCAGUGGAUUGAACUUUGACGUUCACAGUGGGGGGCAAUCAGAUUAAGUGCUUCUUUGGAUAUGCCAGCCGAGCAAGAAGGCGUUGUAGCACGUCAGUGAUAAAGCCUUAAUAAGCUUUUACGUGAUGAUAACCUAAGCAUUGAGGAAUCAUGUUCAUGACAUUUUGCAUUCAAAUGUCAUUCAUACACAUCUAGUUAGGAGCAUUUGAUUCGUUCUGAUCAUGUCAUCCUAAUCACUAGGCACAAUUAGGUUCAUAAAAUAGAACAUACAGGUUAUGUUCCCCAGAGAACAGAUCAAUGAAGUUACAGAUCUUAUCUUCCUGUAUUUGGCAGCGGAGGAGAUCGAAGAUAGCAGAUCUUGUCUUCCUGUAUUUGGCAGCGGAGGAGAUCGAAGAUAGCAGAUCUUGUCUUCCUGUAUUUGGCAGCGGAGGAGAUCGAAGAUAGCAGAUCUUGUCUUCCUGUAUUUGGCAGCAGAAGAGAUCGAAGAUAACAGAUCUUGUCUUUCUGUAUUUGGCAGCAGAGUAGCUCGAAGAUGGUGAAUCUUAUCUUCCCAAUACAGUGGAGAAGCAGAUUUAAGCCAUUAGUCCUAUCACUCUAAGCAGUAGUGGAGUAGGUUGAAGAUUACAGAUUCUGUCACCCUAAGCAGUAGUGGAGCAGAUCAAAGAUGGUGAAUCUUAUCUUCCCAAUACAGUGGAGAAGCAGAUUUAAACCAUUAGUCCUAUCACCCUAAGCAGUAGUGGAAUAGAUCAAUGACUAUAGAUUCUGUAUCCCUAAACAGUAGUGGAACAGAUCAAAGACGGUGAAUUUUACCUUCCCAAGAUACUAGGGAAGUAAAUUUAAACCACAAACCUCCCCCCUGAAGUUACAACAGAGUGGAUUGAAGCUACAAGUCUUAUCUUUUUGAAGUUGCAGUGGAAGAGAUCGAAGCAACAAGGCACAAUGGACUGGAGUGAAGCUACUUGAAGAGAAGCGUGAAGAGAAGUCAAGACUGGGCGAGACCGAGCAAAAUUGGUCUUUCUUAGUCUUUGCUCUGUUUUCGUUACACAAAAACGAGAAAAGAGGGGCAGCUGUACAGCCCAAUUUUGCCCGAGCCCAAUUAACAAUAAACCUACCUAGGUCCAACCUCAGCUACCCAAACACAACCAAACCCAAAUCCAAACAGAACCAGACCCAACUAGCCUAAACCCGAGCCUAAUUACAUCAAACCCAAAUGGCCCUAACCCAGCAAACCCGGAGCCCAAUAGCCCAGGCCCAAUUUCAUGAAAAAUAUCUGCCUAGGGUUUCAGAGACUGAAACCCUAGGCGCCGCCCCUUGACUUUUGGCCCUCUGCCAUCGUCGCCACCGCCGUCGGACGUCCCAUCCGCGUCCAUCACCGCCCAUCCACUUGCAUCGCUAGACCUGCAAACAAACAAGAGAAGUAGCAGAAACAAGCAGUAGCAAAUGGGGGAUUUUGUAAUGAAAAAGGCUAUAUAAAAAGCCAUUUUUUUUUUGUAAUGAAGGGGGGGAGAACAAAUGUAAAGAAAAAAUAUAUUGAGAAAUCAAUACAAGAAU
RNAcentral lists this long non-coding RNA (9510 nucleotides) under Gossypium barbadense (sea-island cotton). Its description in RNAcentral is "long non-coding RNA (GBAR_LNC015034)". The record is from RNAcentral. Lineage: Eukaryota; Viridiplantae; Streptophyta; Magnoliopsida; Malvales; Malvaceae.